CAUCUCAUAGCCACCCAAGUAAGCUGCACCAUAUAAGUGUCACAAACAAGCUGUUCAUUCUCUGGGACCUGUAUGUUUAUUUAUUUAUUUUGAAAAUGCUGGGACCUUUACAUUGAUUCAGCAAUAAUUUGGCAAAAAAUCUAGUCAAUCAAAAAUGUGAUCUAGGGGUCUAGAUAAAGUAUAAUUUCAUAAAUAUUCACCCACCAAAUCAAUCAAACAUUUUGAUCAGAUUUUCUAAAACAUAUAUUGCUUUGGAGCUGCCUCUUCAAACCAACAAGUUCAAUAAAUGGCAUACAGAAAUAGCCAAAGUUCUUCUAUCUUUCAAGUGUUUACUUUAAAUCCUCUGCCAUAUCCAGUACUCAUAAUUCUAUCAGUUAUUUCAAUCUUUCUAGGUAUUUCCUGGUACUAUAGUUAUGAAGAUGUACUUGAAGAAGCAGAAGAACAAAUUAGUUGGGUAGUUAAAGCUUCACCUAUAGUUCUACUAAUCAUCGUCCAGUGGCUCUCAACUAUCGAGAAUCCGGAACGUUUAUUUGCACGUUCACCGUACGAGCGCCGACGUAGGAUUCAUAAUAUUCCGUCUGAGGGUGCCCAGCCGUGGAUUGUCGCGGCCAUAAUUGUUAUAUUGCUCGUCAUGGUUUCUUACCAAUCUACUUUCCAGGAUGGCUGGUUGAUCAGUUAAAGAGAACGUGUUCAUAUCUACUCUGGGUUCGAAAUUCUUGCUAAGGUUGUAUCUGUGUUUUUCGAAUGGAUUAUUACUUGUGAAUUGAAGUGAUCAAGAAUAUGACUACCACAGAAGUCCAGAUAACAGAAGUCCAAACCAGUGAGACCGAAUGGACAGAUGACUGCAGGUACAAAAUAAUAAGCAAAAGCAACACAAUCCACAAAGCCACACCCCAAGACGAACUCCCCGCUUCAUAAAUUAAGUCAUGUUGAUCUUGUUCUCUCGGAAGCAGAUCGUCAAAGAUUGAAGAAGAACUCAUAGUAGACCUUACAAGGAUUAUCAACAAGACCACUAGAAAGAGCAAAAUCUCGAAACUCGAUUUCACCUGCUCAGUUUGAUGUUUCUGUUCGUUACGGAUUGAAUUUGAGAGGGACAUGAAGAAGAUGAUGAUGCCAAAUAUAGCAAUUAAAGGAAACGGAGGAAGUGAGACUGAUGACAGUGUUCGUGCUGUCCAUCCUUCUUUCCAUUCUGCACCUCUUGCCCUUAAAUUGUCUCUUAAAAUCCAAGCCAUGUGUGCAUAUAUUUUUUGAAAUACAGGAGAUGUAUUCAGAUUAACUAAACUUAUGAGGUGUGCUGGUAUGCAACGGAAGUACAUAUGAUGAGGAUAAUUUAGUUAGGGGUUUUGUGUUUAUAUAGGAAAACGAGGAGUCGGGUUAAUGUUGCUUACGUUGGACUAUGCACGGUUAAGUUGGCAUAAAUGGCCGAGCUUGAUCUGAUCAAGAUUCAAGAUAUGAAGAUUCCUGAUUCUUCUUUGAA
RNA transcript from Papaver somniferum (opium poppy), 1477 nucleotides. RefSeq lists it as uncharacterized. The transcript is spliced from 2 exons. The record is from RefSeq and is a predicted model, not a curated record. Lineage: Eukaryota; Viridiplantae; Streptophyta; Magnoliopsida; Ranunculales; Papaveraceae.